Molecule: long non-coding RNA, 1028 nt
Organism: Homo sapiens (human)
Lineage: Eukaryota; Metazoa; Chordata; Mammalia; Primates; Hominidae
Exons: 2
Source: RefSeq, a predicted model, not a curated record
ACAGGAUCUCACUCUGUCACCCAGGCUGGAGUGCAAUGGCGCAAUCUUGGUGCACUACAACUUCUACCACCCAGGCUCAAGCAAUCCUCCCACCUCACCCUCCCAACUAGCUGGGACCACAGAUAAGGAAACUGAGACCAAAAGGGAGUACAGGAAGGGAGUCUUCAGAACUCCUGGGCUUCAGGCAGAAAACUAAUAGCCUGUUUUCAUGAGGAUACCCAGAUUGAAACCAAGCUGAAAAGAGCUAGUUGUCAUCACUUCAUACAGACUCCCAUCCCGGCUGGUGUGCACAGUCUCUGACCAGACCUAUCAGGCUAUGGAGAUUCGGGAAUCCAUUUCCAUUGUGUAAAAUGUGACAACACUCACAGCAGCACAGUAUUUUAUGAGACGCAUUCUGAUUGUUUCCUUUACGCUGACUUUCUAGUUUUGUUUUGUUUUCUUGUUUUUGUUUUGAUACAGGGUCUCACUGUGUCAUCCAAGCUAGAGUUCAGUGGUGUGAUCACGGCUCACUGCAGCCUUCACCUCCCUGGGAUCAAGCGAUCCUCCCAUCUCAGCCUCCUAAGUAGCUGGGCCUAGAGGCUUGUGCUAUCAUGUCCUGCUAAUUUUGUAUUUUUUAUAGAGAUAGGGUUUCGCCGUGUUGUUCAGGCUGGUCUAGAAUUUCUAGGCUCAAGGGAUCUGUCUGCCUUGGCCUCCCAAAGUGCUGGGAUGACAGGCUUGAGCCAUGGCACCUGGCUGACUUUCUAGUUCUUAAUUGUCAACCUUCUUUAUUCUCCUCCUGAUUUUGUAGUAAUUUCUGAUGUCACUGAAGCUGAAAGCUUAUCUUGUGAUCAAUGAUUCCUUGUUUAAAUAGGAAUCCAGAUUUAUAUGAGCUAGUACUCAAUAUUCAGUAAGAUGGCAUAUUUUAAUUAUCUUAUUUUUGAUCAUUACAAAGUUAUGAAACCUUAUAUGCAGAUGAACUAUAUUAAAAACUUGUUUAAAGAGCUUCCCUUUUGGCUUAAACUGAAAUAAAGUUUCCUUUAAAGUUCUAA